This 450-nucleotide ribosomal RNA is filed under the name uncultured bacterium. Its description in RNAcentral is "partial 16S ribosomal RNA". It matches the Rfam family "Bacterial small subunit ribosomal RNA", at positions 338 to 795 of the family's 1533-position model. The record is from RNAcentral.
CCUACGGGUGGCAGCAGUAAGGAAUAUUGCGCAAUGGGCGAAAGCCUGACGCAGCGACGCCGCGUGGGGGAUGAAGGUCUUCGGAUUGUAAACCCCUUUCGGGAGGGAAGAUGGAGCGAGCAAUCGUUCGGACGGUACCUCCAGAAGCAGCCACGGCCAACUUCGUGCCAGCAGCCGCGGUAAUACGACGGUGGCAAGCGUUGUUCGGAUUCACUGGGCGUGCGUGUAGGGGAGGCGGUAUGGUUAGUCUUAAAGCUUCGGGCCCAACCCGGAAAGCGCAGAGGGUACUGCCAGGCUAGAGGGUGGGAGAGGAGCGCGGAAUUCCCGGUGUAGCGGUGAAAUGCGUAGAGAUCGGGAGGAAGGCCGGUGGCGAAGGCGGCGCUCUGGAACAUACCUGACGCUGAGACACGAAAGCGUGGGGAGCAAACAGGAUUAGAUACCCCAGUAGUC